CCGCCCCACUCGGGCUGAAGGCAGUGAUGUGGCCAAUGCAGUCCUGGAUGGAGCCGACUGCAUCAUGCUGUCUGGAGAAACAGCCAAAGGGGACUAUCCUCUGGAGGCUGUGCGCAUGCAGCACCUGAUAGCUCGUGAGGCUGAGGCAGCCAUGUUCCACCGCAAGCUGUUUGAAGAACUUGUGCGAGCCUCAAGUCACUCCACAGACCUCAUGGAAGCCAUGGCCAUGGGCAGCGUGGAGGCUUCUUAUAAGUGUUUAGCAGCAGCUUUGAUAGUUCUGACGGAGUCUGGCAGGUAGGGCCCUAAGGGCAGGUAACACUGUUAGGAUAACCAGCCUCUUGCUCUACCUGCUCUAGGAGAAGACAGCCAGGCCCAACCUGGCAUCUGGGCACAGAGCCUCUUCUCGUCUGUAGGAACACCGCCAGGGAGGUCAUGGCAGGGCAGGACCAAAGGGUCCUGUGGCUCAGUAGGCACAGUAGAUGUCACAGGCACUUGGUGAAGGACUGGUUUCUGUGGAGUCUUGAUCUUGGCUCAGCUCAGAAUCUCCAGUGAUUGGGCUCCUCUUGGCCUUUGUCCCCAGGAACGUGUUCCUCACCAGCUGUCCGGUGACUCUUCCCCUCCCUCUC
This 626-nucleotide small RNA is filed under the name Pan troglodytes (chimpanzee). Its description in RNAcentral is "retained intron". The record is from RNAcentral. Lineage: Eukaryota; Metazoa; Chordata; Mammalia; Primates; Hominidae.